UUUUAAGUUUCUGAUGGUAUUAAUGUUGGUUUUUCCUUGUUCAAAGGAAGACGUUUAUAUUUCUGAGAAUUAAAACAUCAAAAGCAGCCAUUAAUGUGAUGUUUCCUUAAAUUCACAAAAGAAGAAUCAAAUAAUGUUUAUAUGAGGGGGUACUGAAAAAUGUGUACAAAGUAUUCUUGGAGCACAAAUGAGAGACUUCAACUCUUUCUCAAACAUCAGUGAUGAUUUUACAGAGAAGACAUUUGUGUUGCAUUAAAAGAAGGAAUUUACAAAGUAGAGAAGAGGUGAAAGCAAGAAGGGUGAUGUGGAAGAGCCAACUGAGGAAGGACAGAGGUCUCAGCGUGGAAGGAGUACAGGAAAUGAUGAAGGUAUAGCGGGUACAUGUGCAGG
This 390-nucleotide long non-coding RNA is filed under the name Homo sapiens (human). Its description in RNAcentral is "HSALNT0111792". The record is from RNAcentral. Lineage: Eukaryota; Metazoa; Chordata; Mammalia; Primates; Hominidae.